GACGAACGCUGGCGGCGUGCUUAACACAUGCAAGUCGAACGGAAAGGCCCUGCUUUUGUGGGGUGCUCGAGUGGCGAACGGGUGAGUAACACGUGAGUAACCUGCCCUUGACUUUGGGAUAACUUCAGGAAACUGGGGCUAAUACCGGAUAGGAGCUCCUGCUGCAUGGUGGGGGUUGGAAAGUUUCGGCGGUUGGGGAUGGACUCGCGGCUUAUCAGCUUGUUGGUGGGGUAGUUGCUUACCAAGGCUUUGACGGGUAGCCGGCCUGAAAGGGUGACCGGCCACAUUGGGACUGAGAUACGGCCCAGACUCCUACGGGAGGCAGCAGUGGGGAAUAUUGCACAAUGGGCGGAAGCCUGAUGCAGCAACGCCGCGUGCGGGAUGACGGCCUUCGGGUUGUAAACCGCUUUCGCCUGUGACGAAGCGUGAGUGACGGUAAUGGGUAAAGAAGCACCGGCUAACUACGUG
RNAcentral lists this ribosomal RNA (468 nucleotides) under uncultured bacterium. RNAcentral describes it as "partial 16S ribosomal RNA". It matches the Rfam family "Bacterial small subunit ribosomal RNA", at positions 28 to 507 of the family's 1533-position model. The record is from RNAcentral.